Molecule: ribosomal RNA, 484 nt
Filed under: uncultured bacterium
Lineage: Bacteria
Description: partial 16S ribosomal RNA
Rfam family: Bacterial small subunit ribosomal RNA
Source: RNAcentral
AGUGAACGCUGGCGGCGUGCUUAACACAUGCAAGUCGAACGAGAACGGAUUAUAGCUUGCUAUAAUUGUCAGCUAAGUGGCGCACGGGUGAGUAAUGUAUAGGUAAUAUGCCUCUUACUAAGGGAUAACAAAUGGAAACGUUUGCUAAUACCUUAUACUCCUUAUUAACAGAAGUUAAUAAGGGAAAGAUUUAUUGGUAAGAGAUUAGCCUGUAUUGUAUCAGUUAGUUGGUGGGGUAAUGGCUUACCAAGACUAUGACACAUAACUGGUUUGAGAAGAUGAUCAAUCAAACUGGAACUGAGACACGGUCCAGACUCCUACGGGAGGCAGCAGUGGGGAAUAUUGCACAAUGGACGAAAGUCUGAUGCAGCAACGCCGCGUGGAGGAUGACACAUUUCGGUGCGUAAACUCCUUUUAUAUGAGAAGAUAAUGACGGUAUUAUAUGAAUAAGCACCGGCUAACUCCGUGCCAGCAGCCGCAGUAA